RNAcentral lists this ribosomal RNA (410 nucleotides) under Pyropia radi (nom. ined.). RNAcentral describes it as "bacterial LSU rRNA". It matches the Rfam family "Bacterial large subunit ribosomal RNA", at positions 2078 to 2485 of the family's 2925-position model. The record is from RNAcentral. Lineage: Eukaryota; Rhodophyta; Bangiophyceae; Bangiales; Bangiaceae.
GGACAGAAAGACCCUAUGAACCUUUACUGUAGCUUGGAAUUGGGUUCGGGCUUUUCUUGCGCAGGAUAGGUGGGAGGCUAAGACAAUAAUCUUGCGGGAUUAUUAGAGCCAAUGGUGAGAUACCACUCUGGAAAAGCUAGAAUUCUAACCUUGAAAGCCGUUAUCCGGCCAAGGAACAGUUUCAGGUAGGCAGUUUGACUGGGGCGGUCGCCUCCUAAAAAGUAACGGAGGCGUGCAAAGGUUCUCUCAGGCUGGUCGGAAAUCAGUCGUAGAGUGUAAAGGCAUAAGAGAGCUUGACUGUGAGACCUACAAGUCGAACAGAGACGAAAGUCGGCCUUAGUGAUCCGGCGGUACCGAGUGGAAGGGCUGUCGCUCAACGGAUAAAAGUUACUCUAGGGUAACCAGGCUGA